This 400-nucleotide ribosomal RNA is filed under the name phytoplankton environmental sample. RNAcentral describes it as "partial small subunit ribosomal RNA". It matches the Rfam family "Eukaryotic small subunit ribosomal RNA", at positions 587 to 989 of the family's 1831-position model. The record is from RNAcentral.
AGCUCCAAUAGCGUAUAUUAAAGUUGUUGCAGUUAAAAAGCUCGUAGUUGGAUUUCUGCUGGGAGACGCCAGUCCGCUCUUAGGAGUGUGCACUUGGUAAAUCUCAGCUUCCUCCUGGUAUUGCAUUCUUUACUUAACUGUGAGGGGUGUAUUUCCAGGACUUUUACUUUGAGAAAAUUAGAGUGUUUCAAGCAGGCUUGUUGCCUUGAAUACUGCAGCAUGGAAUAAUAAGAUAGGAUUUCGGUUCUAUUUUGUUGGUUUCUAGGACUGAAGUAAUGAUUAAUAGGGACAGUUGGGGGCAUUCGUAUUUAACUGUCAGAGGUGAAAUUCUUAGAUUUGUUAAAGACGAACUACUGCGAAAGCAUUUGCCAAGGAUGUUUUCAUUAAUCAAGAACGAAAG